RNAcentral lists this ribosomal RNA (301 nucleotides) under uncultured bacterium. RNAcentral's name for it is "partial 16S ribosomal RNA". It matches the Rfam family "Bacterial small subunit ribosomal RNA", at positions 509 to 809 of the family's 1533-position model. The record is from RNAcentral.
CAGUAGCCGCGGUAAUACGAAGGGGGCUAGCGUUGCUCGGAAUUACUGGGCGUAAAGGGCGCGUAGGCGGCGCUCCAAGUUAGGCGUGAAAUUCCCGGGCUCAACCUGGGGACUGCGCUUAAGACUGGAGUGCUUGAGGAUGGAAGAGGGUUGUGGAAUUCCCAGUGUAGAGGUGAAAUUCGUAGAUAUUGGGAAGAACACCGGUGGCGAAGGCGGCAACCUGGUCCAUUACUGACGCUGAGGCGCGAUAGCGUGGGGAGCAAACAGGAUUAGAUACCCGCGUAGUCCCUGUCUCUUAUAU